Molecule: long non-coding RNA, 979 nt
Filed under: Rattus norvegicus (Norway rat)
Lineage: Eukaryota; Metazoa; Chordata; Mammalia; Rodentia; Muridae
Description: long non-coding RNA NONRATT022388
Source: RNAcentral
GAGUUACAAGGUUAAUUAAAUCAGAAAAACAGUUUAAUUCUAUAACAGUGAAAUUGUCUUCUGAGGAAGCAACCAUCAAUAUAAUAUCCACAUUAGUUUCCUGUUGAUGCAGAAAUUAUUGUAACAAUGCCAGCUUUUUACAGACUCUCUUACAAUCUUCACUCUGCAGCUCUGCUCUUAUCGCAGCCUGUGAAACAAGACAGGAAACUUAGCAAGAGACAUAAGGAAGUUUUUCCUAUAUGUCUGAACCUUUGGCAGUGUUAGAAUAUAUAUAUAUAUAUAUUACCUUUGUAGCAUUAGAUUUCCAGAAGUCAGGGACAGAUUUCCAUCACGGCACAGUUUUCUUUUUUAAGUUACAUUAGGAAAAGUCAGUUGACUUUCAGUUUGUCUGUUCACUGGUAUGAUAAACAUUUUUACUAUCUUGUAAUUAAAAUAAGCAUAGUAAAACCUCUCAUUGUCCUAAAUGUAUAUGCUGUUGUCUGAUUUAACCUAAGUUUCUUCUCUGGUGACCUUCACUUUAUUUAGAAUUCAAGCAAUUGCCAAGAUUUAAAAUUGGGUGUUUUUUCAUACCCUCUCAAAGGGUUAUGUAAUGAUUUGGAAUAUGAGAGUCAGUUAACAUUCACCUUUUGUGUUUCUAGCUUACAAACUUGGAGAGGAAGUGGCAGCAUCUGGAGCAAAAUAAUUUUGUAAUGAAAGAGUUCAUAGCAACCAAGAGUCAGGAGAGUGAUUACCAGCCAGUGAUUAAAAAUGUGAUGAAGCAGAUUGCAGAGUACAAUAAAACCAUCAUGGAUGCUCUCCAUAGUGCCAGCAGAAGCUGAAACGAAGUCCACUGAAUCUACAAGAAUCCACAAGCAUGCUAAAAGUAAAUUAGCUUCCUCUUGAAGAGUUAGACCCCAGGUUUUUAAAUGCCAUGGUUUUGUGAUCUCCUUGACGGAGAGAUAUCUUGCAUAGUUAAAUAAUUCAAUAAAUGUUUGCAUAU